AGGUGUGAUCAUACUAACACUAAUGCACCGGAUCCCAUCAGAACUCUGCAGUGAAGUGUGCUUGUGCGAGAGUAGUACAAGGACGGGUGACCUCCUGGGAAGUCCUCUUGUUGCACCUC
This 119-nucleotide ribosomal RNA is filed under the name Lupinus angustifolius (narrow-leaved blue lupine). The record is from RNAcentral. Lineage: Eukaryota; Viridiplantae; Streptophyta; Magnoliopsida; Fabales; Fabaceae.